Macleaya cordata is the source of this 198-nucleotide small nuclear RNA. It matches the Rfam family "U2 spliceosomal RNA". From Rfam's summary of the family: U2 is a small nuclear RNA (snRNA) component of the spliceosome (involved in pre-mRNA splicing). Complementary binding between U2 snRNA (in an area lying towards the 5' end but 3' to hairpin I) and the branchpoint sequence (BPS) of the intron results the bulging out of an unpaired adenosine, on the BPS, which initiates a nucleophilic attack at the intronic 5' splice site, thus starting the first of two transesterification reactions that mediate splicing. The record is from Rfam. Lineage: Eukaryota; Viridiplantae; Streptophyta; Magnoliopsida; Ranunculales; Papaveraceae.
AUACCUUUCUCGGCCUUUUGGCUAAGAUCAAGUGUAGUAUCUGUUCUUAUCAGUUUAAUAUCUGAUACGUGGGACAUCGUCCCACACGAUAUUAAAUUAAUUUUUUUCUUGGGGGAGGUCCCACAACAGUGGCUUGCUACUGGGGACCUCGAGCGUCGCCCAUGCGUUGCACUAUUGCAAGGGCCUGGCGCACCCCCA